RNAcentral lists this non-coding RNA (128 nucleotides) under uncultured Sutterella sp. Its description in RNAcentral is "FMN riboswitch (RFN element)". It matches the Rfam family "FMN riboswitch aptamer (RFN element)". From Rfam's summary of the family: The RFN element is a highly conserved domain that is found frequently in the 5'-untranslated regions of prokaryotic mRNAs that encode for flavin mononucleotide (FMN) biosynthesis and transport proteins. Lineage: Bacteria; Pseudomonadati; Pseudomonadota; Betaproteobacteria; Burkholderiales; Sutterellaceae. The record is from RNAcentral.
UUGCUCAGGGAUGGGUGAAAUUCCCUAUCGGCGGUAAAGUCCGCGAGCGCCGGUCCGUUCGAAAACGGGACCGCGCGCAGAUCCGGUGCAACUCCGGAACCGACGGUGACAGUCCGGAAGGAAGAGCA